UUUGUCUUUCUGUACCCAUUACUGUGUCUGAACUGUGUGACAAUGCUAAAACAAAUCCCAGAGAGCACACUGGUGUCCCGAGUUGGCUCCCAAGACCCCUAAGCAAUCCAUCUCUUCUCCCUGCUUUCUACCAGGUACACAUGCUGUCUUACAAUGUCCAGGGCUUUCAGCUGUGCUGAAGAGGGCAGAGAAACACACAGCCAGUCUACCUGUCCAGCAGCUUCAGACAUACCCACACUGGGCUGUCAGGUCCUUGCAUAUACCAGGACCAUUGGACCUGCCUUUCGAGCCAAGGGAAACCACAGCUACACCCACCUGCAGAACACCAACGCCCUCAGCUUUGCCAAAACUCAAACCAUCCAUAAGUCCACAGAAAGAGCUGGAAAGUGGCUGAUGAAAACUUCUGCGAUGACGUAUGAUUCCUGACUCCCAAAAGAGUCCAGACAUGCUGAGAAAGAAAGAACUGUUAGUCUUGCUCAUCACUGCCUCACCAUAACCCAGAGCAACACUCCAGCACAGAGGAAAUGCUCCGGCAUAUGGUGUAUACUUUAACAUGUAGGUAGUGUUUCACCAUGUGGCAAGUGCUCCCUCAUGUGGGAAGUGCUCCAGGACAUGGUCAACUGAAGGUGCUCAAUACACCUCUGCAGUGAAAAAGGAAACUCUUUUUCUUGACAUUUCUUUGGUAUAUAGGAAUGCGAUGAGCUAAUGGAAUUCAUAUACCGGCCCAACGGAGAGUGUAGAGUAAAGGAAUCUACCCCACUUACACUGUUAAAUUAAUAAAUGAGUGGCUUGUUUCCUGGCUAUGAUUAUGGUAUGAUGAGCUAGGAUACAAGACUCUCAGGGCAGAAGAAAUUACACACACAGGCCUUCUAACUCACCUAUUGUUCCAACAUGUGCAUUCCUUCCACAAGUAGUUCUUAAGAGAGUGUCUAUUACACACAGCACUAAACAGACUCAGUAGGCCUUUGAUAGGAUACUGGUCAGUAACAAAGUAUCAAGUGAUCCCUACAGUUUGUAUUCCUAUAUAUUGCAAAAACACUGCAAAGAUAUACCCCAGCAUAGGUCUGAGGUCCCUCCUGAACAAGUAACUGCCACUCUCUGAGAUGAUAUCACAUUAGCAAGAAGUGUUCUGUUUCACGGUGACUUCAUUCCCACUCCCUAGUCCUUGAUCCUGAGGUCAUUCAGGACUUUCAACACAGUACAACCACACAGUACUGAGCCAUUAAUGUGUGGGGUACAGUUCUGGUUGUACCCUGUCUUCUCAAUGGUCAGUACCAGAGUCUGGAUAUUCAAGUGGCUGGAAGCCAGACCCCAUGACAGCAGACUUUGACCUGCAUGUUCUGCACCAGCCAGGUCAGAAAGCCAAACCAUCAAGUCUGCUGGUGUCACCAGAUGUCAUAGUAUGGUGACUGAGUUUCCUUGAUUUUUGUCCCCCUUCCCAGCUCAGAAACAACUUAGAGAAAGAUAAAUAGGAUGCCUCAGAUCUAGUUAUCCUCUCUCUAACCUCUCUGUGCCAAGAGCCCUCAACCACAGUAAACCCAAAGUCUUUACUCUCCUACAAAGAUUUUCCACAUGUCUGCCUUGCCUCGAAUCUGCAAAUGCAGGUGCGAUGUUCAGGCUUCAUUGCCAACUUGACAAGACCUUAGAAACACCUAGAAAGCAAGCUCCAGGUGGAUUGGUGAGGGUGUCAUCAGAGAAGUUUAACUGAGGAGGAAAGACCUAUGUUAAGCACAAGGAAGUUGACCAGGUUGAGUAAAAGAGGGGAGGUGAACCAGGAAGCCCACAGGGCACCAGCAUUCAUCCUUUUGUUUCCAGCUACAGAGAGAUGCAAGACACCAGCUACACUGUCUCCCCAUCAUGACUCACUGAAUUCCUUCAACCCACAAGACCAAAUGUUCUUCCUUUGGUGGCUUGAAAGAGAAUGGAUUCCAUAGGCUCAUGGUUGGAGGAGGUGUGUCAUGAGGGUGAGCUUUGAGGAUUUCAAAACUUCCCCUCAUCCCUCCUUAGUUCUCUCUGCCUCUUACUUGUAACUCAAGAUGUAAACUCCCAGUUGUUCCUGCCACCAUGCCUUUGUUCUUCCAUCAUGGACUCUAACCCUCUGGAACCAUAAGCUCAAUUAAACACUUUAUUCUGUAAGUUGCCUUGGUCAUGGGUGCUUUAUCACAGCAAUAGAACAGUAACUAAGACAUACCCUCAGGCUGAUUCUGAUAGACAUUUUGUCACAAAAAGUAGAAAAGCUAAUUUUACAGAAAAUUGUUACUAAGGAGUAAGGUCAUUGCUGUGACCACCUGAUCAUGUGGUUCAUAGGCCUUUGUAUGUGUUUCACAGUUUGGGAUUGCUAAAAGCAGAGUUUAAUGGGCCAUUCUAGAGGGUUUGCAAGAAUAGAAUGCUAAGAGAGAUGUUGACAGUGGAGGUCAGGCUCUAGAGGUUUCUAUUGAUAGCAUGUCUAUAUUCUGUAAAGAAUAGGGCUUUAUUCUGUUCAUGUCCUGAGAACUUGAGUGAGGCAGAAUUCAAAAGCAAAAGACUGUUUUGUUUGUUUGUCUCAGGACAGCAUAGAAUCCAGUCUGUGGUGUGGCUACUGCUUGUUGCUGAUACAUAGGGAGAGAGAGAGAGAGAGAGAGAGAGAGAGAGAGAGAGAGAGAGAGAGAGAGAGAAGGUAAAUGUGCAUUUGGUAAGAAAAUUAGUGUGAUUUUAAAACUGCAGCUUUAGUGAACUUUAAAAUAAAAAUUAAAAGUGGUGGUUUAUUCUCCUUCAUGUAGUUUGGCAUGAGUGUUCUUUAUAUUAUAGGAUGUUAUGUUAUAUUAAGGAUUUUUCUUUACUUUCCCUCUUGGGUCCUUCCAACAUUCCUCCCCCCUUAGUAGGUAUUAUAUCUUGAUUUUAGAAGUUGAUUGAGGAGUCAAAAGGGAAUAAAAAGAACUCUUAGAGUCAUCAGAUUUGGAGACUGGGUGGGCUGUGUUUGCUUCAGGAAUGUAAACUCAAUCUUUAUCUUUGAGUUUAUCUGUGAGAACAACUCACUAGAGAAGGCUCUUGGGUCAGGCCAGACCCUUCAGCAUUAGGUCUUUGACAUGGAGGUCAGAAGGGAGAGGGCAAAGGCCUGGAAUAGUCUGGGAUUAAACACUAGGACAUGACAUCUGGAGAAGAGAGAAGAGAACAGCUGAUAUCAUGGUGGUUAGAGCAGCAGGGGUGGAAGAGGAAGUAAGUUUAGGCUGAAGGUGUGGGCCUAAGCCAAUUUUUUGGCCAUCUUGUCUGAGGGUUUCUAUUACAUUGUUUGAGUUUCUUGUGUAUUCUGGAUAUUAACCUCUUGUCAAGAUAAAUAAUUUGUAAACACCUUUGUGUGUUCUGUUGAGUAUUAUCUGUGUCCUACUGGCUGCCUGUAUUCUGUCAAUUGUCAUCUGUGUUCUGUUGAUUGCUUCAUUUGCUAGGAAGAAACUUUGGUUUAGUGGAAUUUCAUCUGUUAAUUUUUGUUUUCUGUAUUUCCAGGGUUCUAUAAAAAAUCACUGCAAAAUCAAGGUCCCCCAAUUUUUCUUCUAUGCCUUUUCCUAGUAGUAUCCUAGUUUGGGGUCUUAUAUUUCAGACUUUAAUCUUUUUGAGUUGCUAUUUGUAUCUGGUGAAAAUGUAGAUUCUUUCUUCUAUAUGGAUAUCCAGCUUUCCCAGCAGUUUAUUGAGAAGAUUAUUCUUUCCCCAUGUUUCUAGCAACUUGUAAAAAUUCAAUUGGCUGUAAAUUCAUGGGGUCAUUUGUGGGCUUUGUUCUGCUUCAUUGGUCUGUGUGUCUUUCUUUUCUUUUUCCUUUACUCUUCUCUCAUACAUAACAUUCUGAGCACAGCCUCCCCU
Molecule: non-coding RNA, 3831 nt
Organism: Cricetulus griseus (Chinese hamster)
Lineage: Eukaryota; Metazoa; Chordata; Mammalia; Rodentia; Cricetidae
Source: RefSeq, a predicted model, not a curated record